CGCACAUUGCGCCCCUCGGAAUUCCGGGGGGCAUGCCUGUCCGAGCGUCAUUACAACCCUCAAGCGUAGCUUGGUAUUGGGUCUCGCCCCCCGCCUAGGGGUGUACCCGAAAAGUAGCGGCGGUCCGGCGUGACUUUGGACGUAGUAAAUUUCUCCCGUCCUGAAAGCCCUCGCGCUGUGGCCGGCCAAAAACCCCUCGAUCUUUCCACGAUUGACCUCGGAUCAGGUAGGGAUACCCGCUGAACUUAA
Molecule: unclassified non-coding RNA, 249 nt
Filed under: Toniniopsis subincompta
Lineage: Eukaryota; Fungi; Ascomycota; Lecanoromycetes; Lecanorales; Ramalinaceae
Description: partial contains 5.8S ribosomal RNA, internal transcribed spacer 2, and large subunit ribosomal RNA
Source: RNAcentral